RNA transcript from Panicum virgatum (switchgrass), 4527 nucleotides. It is a transcript of the gene named disease resistance protein Pik-2-like, with no coding region annotated. The record is from RefSeq and is a predicted model, not a curated record. Lineage: Eukaryota; Viridiplantae; Streptophyta; Magnoliopsida; Poales; Poaceae. The transcript is spliced from 5 exons.
GCGCAAACUUGUGCCCACAUACUUCCCUGUUCCCUCCUUAUCUACACGCACGCUACAGCACCGAUCUAGCUCCACUGCACCGCCGCCGGCCGCCGUCCAGCACCACGGCCGUCGUCCUUCCCACUUCUUGCCGCUGAGUGAGCCACCCUCGCACAUCGCAGCCGCGCGCUGUGGCCUCUAGUCCUCCCUCGGCACCACUGGCUAGUGGCUAGUUCGAUCACUUCACUACCGCCACCACAGCUACGGCCUCAAGGUUGGUCUGGUUCCCGUUUGGCCGGCCACUACUCCUGAAUCCUGAUGGUCGAUCCAAGCAAGCGCAGCUCGGAUCCGGGCUGCCUUUGAGCCUCCGGCGUUCAGUUCCAGCUCGAUCUAAGCUACUCCUGCAGGAUAGAUCUCGGUUCUCGGCCGCCUGCGCCACAACCACUGUGCAGUGGUUUGCUCGGCAAGUCGGCAUCUCACCAGUCACCAGCUGGGGGUGGUAAUCCGGCCCGUCGAUAAGGCUGGCUGGGAAGGAGAAUCAGGGUCACAGUUAUGGAGUUCGCCACGAAGCCGAUGAUGGAGUUCGCCUGGAGGUCAAUGGGCACCCUCCUCCCCAAGCUGGUCCGGCUCCUCAAGGAGGAGUACCACCUGCAGAAGAGCGUCAAGGACGGGGUCAAGUUCCUCAUCGCCGAGCUCGAGAGCAUGCAGGCUGCCCUCGAGAAGGUGUCCGACGUGCCGGCCGACCAGCUCGACAAGCAGGUCAAGCUUUGGGCCAGGGACGUCCGGGAGAUGUCCUACGACAUCGAGGACAGCGUCAACACCUUCCUGGUGCGCGUGGACGGCAAGAGGCAAGCAGCCAGGCCGCUCAGCAUCAAGGGGAUCGUCGACAAGGGCCUCGAUUCACUGGCCAAGACCAAAUCCCGGCACAAGAUUGCCGCCGACAUCAAAGAGAUCAUGGGGCAUGUCCGGGAGGCCAAGGAGCGGCGGUACAGGUACAAUGUUGAUGGGCUUGUUGCUAAGCCUUUGGCGACGUCCAUCGAUCCUCGCUUAUCUGCUCUGUUCAAGAAAGUGACUGAGCUCGUUGGCAUUGGGAAGACAAGGGAUGAGCUAAUAAGGAUGCUGUCUGAAGGAGAUGAUGUGUCCAAGAAAAAGCUCAGGGUCGUCUCUGUCGUUGGAAUUGGGGGAUUAGGCAAGACAACUCUUGCUAAAACAGUGUAUGAUAAGCUUAAAGUGGAGUUUGAGUGCUCAGCGUUUGUUUCUGUGAGCCAUAGCCCUGACAUGAAGAAAAUCUUCAAGGACAUUCUCCUUGAGCUAGACAAGGACAAAUAUGAGAAUAUUCAUAACACAACAAGGGAUGCAAAGCAGCUCAUUGAUAUACUACAUGAAUUCCUCGGCAACAAGAGGUACCUCAUUGUUAUCGAUGAUAUAUGGGAUACACAAUCUUUAGAGACAAUUAGACUGGCUCUCGAUGGGAAUAGUUGUGGAAGCAGGAUAAUCACAACUACUCGUAAAUUUGAAGUUGCCACAGAAGCUGGUGAUGUCUACCAUCUGAAGCCACUUUCGUACGGUAACUCCAAAAAAUUAUUUUAUACAAGGAUAUUUGGUGGUGAAGGAAAAUGCAAUGAAAACAAACCAGAUGAGGUGUUGGAUAAAAUUUUGAAGAAAUGUGGUGGUGUACCAUUAGCUAUAAUUACAAUGGCUAGUUUGCUUGCUGGUAAACCGACAGAGGAGUGGUCUGAGGUCUAUACUUCUAUUGGUUUCAGCCGUAAAGACAACUGGCAUGCAGAAAAUACUAUGAGGAUAUUGUCUUUUAGCUACUACGAUAUGCCUUCUCACCUAAGGACUUGUUUAUUGUAUUUAAGUGCUUUUCCAGAAGACUACCCAAUCUAUAAGGAUCAAUUGAUAUGGAAGUGGAUCGCUGAAGGUUUAAUUCCAGGGGAACAAGGAGUUGGGUUAUUUGAGCUUGGAGAGAGAUACUUCAAUGAUCUCAUGAACAGAAGCUUGAUACAACCAUUGGGGACUGCGGACUAUGGCACUGUAAAUGGUUGUUGUCUUCAUGAUAUGAUGCUUGGACUAAUCCGUUCUUUGUCGCAUGAGGAGAACUUUAUUACUAUAUUGCAUAAAGGGCAGUAUGACACAUUAGUGCAAAGUAGUACACGAAGGCUGUCCCACCACAAAAGACCUGUGAAUCACAGUUCUGAGUCUCAGAUGUACUUGGCACACGUCAGGUCAUUUUCCGCAUUUUUGUGUGGUAUUGAGAAGAUGGUGCCACUUUCAAACUUUCAAGUUUUACGUGUAUUAGCUUUGGAAGAGUGUCAAUUCAUGGAAGGUUACCGUCUCACUCAUCUUGGGGAGCUCCUUCACUUGAGGUACCUUGGACUAGCAUAUACACCGAUAUCUGAGAUCCCAAAAGAAAUAGAAGCACUUCAAUUUCUGCAGACACUAGAAUUGGUAGGCACUGGCAUUAAAGAAUUGCCAUCCAGCAUUGGCCUUUUGACACAAAUGGUGUGCCUGCAUGGUGAUCGUUCCACAACAAGAAUACCAAGAGAUGGGAUCAUCGGAAAGAUGACAUCACUGGAGGAGCAGUGCGUACACCCUGCCGCUGUCACUGACAACGAUGAUAACAAGUCUGCAAGGCAAUUUGUGAAAGAACUUGGGAACCUGAAGGAAUUAAGGGUACUUGAUACCGUUAUAGAUGGGCUGGAUGAGAGUAUGGAGGAAGCUUUACUCGAGUCUCUGCAGAAUCUAAGGAAGCUCCGGUAUCUGGAGAUCAGUGGUCGACCAUGGGGAAAAUCUUUGAGAUUGGAGGCUCCUGGUUUCAUACUCCCUCGAAGUCUGCAACAUCUGUGGUUGUCAGGUUUAACGUUCUCCAACCUGCCGACAUGGAUAAACUCCUCUCUUCUUCCAAACCUCUCUGUGUUGUGUGUGUUUGUCGACUCUAUGGACUAUCGGGACAUGAGAAUCAUUGGGAAAUUACCAAAGCUCUACUACCUCCAACUGUACACAGAGUCGACAUUUGUUGUAUAUGGUGGUGAUGGCUACUUCCAGAAGCUGAAGUAUUGCCAGUUGGGCAUGGGUGUUACUGCCAUGUUUAGGGAAGAUAAGUCUGGAGUGCCAGUCAUGCCAUGCCUUGAAGUUCUUGACUUCAGUAUCUCUGUUCGGCGCUCGAUGGAUUUCUGUUUUCAUCAUGGUCAGGGGAUAUCAUUCAUACCUGUGGUGAUUGGGUUGCACUUCAUCCCUUCACUGCUAAAGGUGAAAGUUAGAAUCUCAUGUCAGGAUGCUUUGCGUGCAGAGGUGGAUGACACAGAGAAAGUUCUGAGGAAAACAGCCUACAAGCAUCCUAAUUGGCCCUACCUUGAAGUGGAAAAGUUCUGUGAAGAUAAAAUGAUCACAUCUGUUGAAGAUCAAUCCUGGGCUUUGAUGGACUUCCGUGACGUAAUUGAUUAUCAUGUCCAUGUACGGGAAUUAAAUGAUAUUGGAUAUGCAUUGGACUUUACAAGUUUGGGAAAUUUCCCUAUACUUGAGAAAGUCAAUGCUUCUAUCAACUGUGAGGAUGCAACGGCUGAUGAGGUGGAGAGAGUGGAGGCUGCGAUGCGGGAUGCAGUCGAAGCUCAUCCGAACCAUCCAGUGCUUCAAGUGGAAAGGCAUGGUACAGAAAAAAUGAAAGUAUCAAAUCAGAAAGGUCAAAAGCCGGUGGAUCACCAAUUCCUGAUGCUUCCACAAAAAAUGAGGAUGAACUUACCACCGCCACCGACACCACAAACAUCAGUCAUUAUUGCAAAUGAGGAAAAAGAAUAAACGGUGCACAAUUCCACAGCUUAGUAUUGCACUUGGAUCUGUUCCACAUGUGAUUCAAGGCUGCUUGUGCAUGCAGGUUCCAUAAUUGAAGUUGAAUGCUCAGCAACCUGAAUGAUCUGAAUGCACUUACAACUGCAUCUUCUCAGCAAUACCAAGCUGGAUGAGGAUCACUGAUGCAGUUGAUGAUGUACGGUCUUGCGUCUGGUGGGGACAACUAUCUAUUUAGUGGAAACUUGACAUAAGCCAUCGUACAAUCAACAACAUCUAAACACGGACCUCAAUCGUACCCUGCCGGAUGAAAGACAGAGUUUGAGAUUGCAUCCACUUGCCUGUCUUGUCACAGCCCUGAUCGGGAGCCGUGCAGAAUUAGGGGAUUGGGGAAUCUGCGGAAUUAACGGACGCUGAACCGAAAACAGAGCACUCAAUCUCAAAGUCCAGAGUUAGAUGAGAAUCUCUCUAUAUAUUGGGCUCUGUUGCAGCGACAUGAGCAUCAGCACGCCCUCGUCCUCCCAUGUCAGCAGCUCGAGGAGGUGGCACUUUGAGUCUUUGCGUCAUUUGGAUGGUUAUCGUCGAAUCGAUUAGGUUUUCAUUAAUCACGAGAAAAGCUUGUUCAAUUUAUUUACCUCGCUUAAACUUGUUUGUGCGAGUGAUUGGAACUUUUUACUCGUUUUGUAAUAAGUGGACUGAUUUUAGUGGAUAAAGCCGGAUAAUAUCUAUUCUUUAUCUAAAAAAUAUAUUACUUGAUCCUUA